AACGAACGCUGGCGGCAGGCUUAACACAUGCAAGUCGAACGCCCCGCAAGGGGAUUGGCAGACUGGUGAGUAGCGCGUGGGAAUCUACCCAUCCCUACGGAAUAACGCAUGGAAACGUGUGCUAAUACCGUAUACGCCCUACGGGGGAAAGAUUUAUCGGGGAUGGAUGAGCCCGCGUGGGAUUGUCUGGUUGGUGGGGUAAAGGCCUACCAAGGCGACGAUCCCUAGCUGGUCUGAGAGGAUGAUCAGCCACAGUGGGACUGCGACACGGCCCAAACUCCUACGGGAGGGAGCAGUGGAGAAUAUUGGACAAUGAGGGCAAGCCUGAUCAAGCCACGCCGCGUGAGUGAUGAAGGCCUUAGGGUUGUAAAGCUCUUUGACCGGAGAAGAUAAUGACGGUAACCGGAGAAGAAGCCCCGGCUAACUUCGUG
This 431-nucleotide ribosomal RNA is filed under the name uncultured bacterium. Its description in RNAcentral is "partial 16S ribosomal RNA". It matches the Rfam family "Bacterial small subunit ribosomal RNA", at positions 29 to 507 of the family's 1533-position model. The record is from RNAcentral.